ACCUGUUGACCGGGUGAAAUGGUUAAAUUAAAUACGAUUACCGGUAUUUGGGACUUAAUUGAAUAAAAAAAAUAUAUAUAGGGACUAAAUCGAUUAUGAGGCCAAUAUCUGGGGACUUUAUUGUAGUUUUCCUAUAUAUAUAUAUAUGACUUGAAUGCGUGCUUAAAUAAUGCAUCUGGACUAUUUACCAAUUUUUAAUGUGGUUUGGUUUUAUUACUCAGCGAUUAGAAAGAAUAAACAUCACCUGUUCUUGAGGGCACCAACUAGUCACCAUGCCUCUCCCUUUUGUCUCGUCAACAAACUCUGGUGGCAUCAUGGCCUCAUUGCCUCCGACAAUGUCGGGCCUUGUAAUCCACAAGAAAUCUUUCUUGCUAUUCGCCAGUCCCCACCCAAACUCGAUGAGUUGUUCUUUUGUCAUGACUGUAAUGCUUCCAAAGUUAACGUAAACAACUGAGCCAGGGUCUUUUGUGUCAAGCCAACUGAUGCAACUCUCAU
This 495-nucleotide long non-coding RNA is filed under the name Lactuca sativa (garden lettuce). RNAcentral describes it as "long non-coding RNA (LSAT_LNC007510)". The record is from RNAcentral. Lineage: Eukaryota; Viridiplantae; Streptophyta; Magnoliopsida; Asterales; Asteraceae.